RNAcentral lists this ribosomal RNA (119 nucleotides) under Pteropus alecto (black flying fox). Lineage: Eukaryota; Metazoa; Chordata; Mammalia; Chiroptera; Pteropodidae. The record is from RNAcentral.
GUCUACGGCCAUGCCACCCUGAACAAGCCCAAUCCCGUCUGUUCUCAGAAGCUAAGCAGGGUUGGGCUUGGUUAGUAUUUGGAUGGGAGACCACCUAGAAAGACCAGGUGCUGUAGGUG